This 1037-nucleotide ribosomal RNA is filed under the name Chrysoporthe deuterocubensis. Its description in RNAcentral is "SSU rRNA". It matches the Rfam family "Eukaryotic small subunit ribosomal RNA", at positions 47 to 1095 of the family's 1831-position model. The record is from RNAcentral. Lineage: Eukaryota; Fungi; Ascomycota; Sordariomycetes; Diaporthales; Cryphonectriaceae.
AGCCAUGCAAGUCUAAGUUUAAGCACCUAAACGGCGAAACUGCGAAUGGCUCAUUAAAUCAGUUAUCGUAUAUUUGAUAGUACCUACUACAUGGAUAACCGUGGUAAUUCUAGAGCUAAUACAUGCUUAAAAUCCCGACUUCGGAAGGGAUGUAUUUAUUAGAUUAAAAACCAAUGCCCUUCGGGGCUCACUGGUGAUUCAUAAUAACUUCUCGAAUCGCAUGGCCUUGUGCCGGCGAUGGUUCAUUCAAAUUUCUGCCCUAUCAACUUUCGACGGCUGGGUCUUGGCCAGCCGUGGUUACAACGGGUAACGGAGGGUUAGGGCUUGACCCCGGAGAAGGAGCCUGAGAAACGGCUACUACAUCCAAGGAAGGCAGCAGGCGCGCAAAUUACCCAAUCCCGAUACGGGGAGGUAGUGACAAUAAAUACUGAUACAGGGCUCUUUUGGGUCUUGUAAUUGGAAUGAGUACAAUUUAAAUCCCUUAACGAGGAACAAUUGGAGGGCAAGUCUGGUGCCAGCAGCCGCGGUAAUUCCAGCUCCAAUAGCGUAUAUUAAAGUUGUUGCAGUUAAAAAGCUCGUAGUUGAACCUUGGGCCUGGCUGGCCGGUCUGCCUCACCGCAUGCACUGGUCCGGCCGGGCCUUUCCCUCUGGGGAGCCGCAUGCCCUUCACUGGGUGUGUCGGGGAACCAGGACUUUUACUGUGAAAAAAUUAGAGUGUUCAAAGCAGGCCUAUGCUCGAAUACAUUAGCAUGGAAUAAUAGAAUAGGACGUUGCGGUUCUAUUUUGUUGGUUUCUAGGACCGCCGUAAUGAUUAAUAGGGACAGUCGGGGGCAUCAGUAUUCAAUCGUCAGAGGUGAAAUUCUUGGAUCGAUUGAAGACUAACUACUGCGAAAGCAUUUGCCAAGGAUGUUUUCAUUAAUCAGGAACGAAAGUUAGGGGAUCGAAAACGAUCAGAUACCGUUGUAGUCUUAACCAUAAACUAUGCCGACUAGGGAUCGGGCGAUGUUUUUCUUUGACUCGCUCGGCACCUUACACGA